CCUACGGGAGGCAGCAGUGGGGAAUAUUGGACAAUGGGCGAAAGCCUGAUCCAGCCAUGCCGCGUGUGUGAAGAAGGCCUUCGGGUUGUAAAGCACUUUCAGUGGGGAAGAAAGCCUUGGGGCUAAUACCCUCGAGGAAGGACAUCACCCACAGAAGAAGCACCGGCUAACUCCGUGCCAGCAGCCGCGGUAAUACGGAGGGUGCGAGCGUUAAUCGGAAUUACUGGGCGGAAAGCGCGCGUAGGCGGUCUGAUAAGCCGGUUGUGAAAGCCCCGGGCUCAACCUGGGAACGGCAUCCGGAACUGUCAGGAUAGAGUGCAGGAGAGGAAGGUAGAAUUCCCGGUGUAGCGGUGAAAUGCGUAGAGAUCGGGAGGAAUACCAGUGGCGAAGGCGGCCUUCUGGACUGACACUGACGCUGAGGUGCGAAAGCGUGGGUAGCAAACAGGAUUAGAUACCCCUGUAGUC
This 465-nucleotide ribosomal RNA is filed under the name Vreelandella stevensii. RNAcentral describes it as "partial 16S ribosomal RNA". It matches the Rfam family "Bacterial small subunit ribosomal RNA", at positions 338 to 795 of the family's 1533-position model. Lineage: Bacteria; Pseudomonadati; Pseudomonadota; Gammaproteobacteria; Oceanospirillales; Halomonadaceae. The record is from RNAcentral.